AUUGAACGCUUGCGGCAGGCCUAACACAUGCAAGUCGAGCGGAGCGGCGGACGGGUGAGUAAUGCCUAGGAAUCUGCCUGGUCGUGGGGGCUAACGUCCGGAAACGGGCGCUAAUACCGCAUACUAUCAGAUGAGCCUAGGUCGGAUUAGCUAGUUGGUGGGGUAAAGGCCUACCAGGGCGACGAUCCGUAACUGGUCUGGGAGGAUGAUCAGUCACACUGGAACUGAGACACGGUCCAGACUCCUACGGGAGGCAGGAGUGGGGAAUAUUGGACAAGGGGCGAAAGCCGGAUCCAGCCAUGCCGCGGGUGUGAAGAAGGCCUUCGGGUUGUAAAGCACUUUCAGCGGGGAGGCGUUACCCGCAGAAGAAGCACCGGCUAACUCCGUGCCAGCCGCCGCGGUAAUUC
Molecule: ribosomal RNA, 407 nt
Filed under: uncultured bacterium
Lineage: Bacteria
Description: partial 16S ribosomal RNA
Rfam family: Bacterial small subunit ribosomal RNA
Source: RNAcentral